This 467-nucleotide ribosomal RNA is filed under the name uncultured bacterium. Its description in RNAcentral is "partial 16S ribosomal RNA". It matches the Rfam family "Bacterial small subunit ribosomal RNA", at positions 28 to 507 of the family's 1533-position model. The record is from RNAcentral.
GACGAACGCUGGCGGCGUGCUUAACACAUGCAAGUCGAACGGAAAGGCCUCUUUCGGGGGGUACUCGAGUGGCGAACGGGUGAGUAACACGUGAGUAACCUGCCCUUGACUUUGGGAUAACUUCAGGAAACUGGGGCUAAUACCGGAUAGGAGCUCCUGCUGCAUGGUGGGGGUUGGAAAGUUUCGGCGGUUGGGGAUGGACUCGCGGCUUAUCAGCUUGUUGGUGGGGUAGUGGCUUACCAAGGCUUUGACGGGUAGCCGGCCUGAGAGGGUGACCGGCCACAUUGGGACUGAGAUACGGCCCAGACUCCUACGGGAGGCAGCAGUGGGGAAUAUUGCACAAGGGGUGGAAGCCUGAUGCAGCAACGCCGUGUGCGGGAUGACGGCCUUCGGGUUGUAAACCGCUUUCGCUCAUGACGAAACUUUGUGUGACGGUAGUGGGUAAAGAAGCACCGGCUAACUACGUG